CCCCUAGAUGUUCUGGGCCGCACGCGCGCUACACUGAACAGUUCAACAAGUCUUAACCUUGGCCGAUAGGUCUGGGUAAUCUUUGAACGCUGUUCGUGAUUGGGAUAGACCUUUGCAAUUAUGGGUCUUCAACGAGGAAUUCCUAGUAAACGCAAGUCAUCAGCUUGCUUUGAUUACGUCCCUGCCCUUUGUACACACCGCCCGUCGCACCUACCGAUUGAAUGGUCCGGUGAAAUCUCGGGACGGCGGCUUGGUCGCUUGCGUCCGACUGCUGAAACUUGAUUAAACCAUAUCAUUUAGAGGAAGGUGAAGUCGUAACA
This 320-nucleotide ribosomal RNA is filed under the name uncultured eukaryote. RNAcentral's name for it is "partial 18S ribosomal RNA". It matches the Rfam family "Eukaryotic small subunit ribosomal RNA", at positions 1470 to 1796 of the family's 1831-position model. The record is from RNAcentral.